This 397-nucleotide ribosomal RNA is filed under the name uncultured bacterium. Its description in RNAcentral is "partial 16S ribosomal RNA". It matches the Rfam family "Bacterial small subunit ribosomal RNA", at positions 523 to 918 of the family's 1533-position model. The record is from RNAcentral.
AUACGUAGGGGGCGAGCGUUGUCCGGAAUGAUUGGGCGUAAAGGGCGCGUAGGCGGCCCGGUAAGUCUGGAGUGAAAGUCCUGUUUUUAAGAUGGGAAUUGCUUUGGAUACUGUCGGGCUUGAGUGCAGGAGAGGUAAGUGGAAUUCCCAGUGUAGCGGUGAAAUGCGUAGAGAUUGGGAGGAACACCAGUGGCGAAGGCGACUUACUGGACUGUAACUGACGCUGAAGCGCGAAAGUGUGGGGAGCAAACAGGAUUAGAUACCCUGGUAGUCCACACUGUAAACGAUGAAUGCUAGGUGUAGGGGGUAUCGACCCCUUCUGUGCCGCAGUCAACACAAUAAGCAUUCCGCCUGGGGAGUACGGCCGCAAGGUUGAAACUCAAAUGAAUUGACGGGG